RNAcentral lists this long non-coding RNA (314 nucleotides) under Mytilus galloprovincialis (Mediterranean mussel). The record is from RNAcentral. Lineage: Eukaryota; Metazoa; Mollusca; Bivalvia; Mytilida; Mytilidae.
CCCGUGUGGAUAGACUUGUUUUAACAUUGAUAAAAAUCGCCAUGAACUUUUAUUAUAACAUACAUGAAUUUUAAAAUGUCGGGAGGUGUCGUUGCGGAUUGCAAACAUUAUCUUUAGUGAUAUUCAUAUAUGUAAAUAAUGUACAUAAUGGUGGAAGGAUGAUCCAAAAAAUUCAUGGAUAAAUUAUGGUGAUGGGACCCACAGACACAGCACCAAUGUAAAUAAUGAGCACCGCCACCCAAAGCACCCGUUCAACACACAGAAACUGUGUGGUUCUCCUUUGAAGGGGGUAAAGAUACAGAGGUAAGGUAAGG